This 253-nucleotide ribosomal RNA is filed under the name uncultured bacterium. RNAcentral describes it as "partial 16S ribosomal RNA". It matches the Rfam family "Bacterial small subunit ribosomal RNA", at positions 524 to 776 of the family's 1533-position model. The record is from RNAcentral.
UACGAGGGGGGCAAGCGUUGUUCGGAAUUAUUGGGCGUAAAGGGUGCGUAGGCGGUUUGGUAAGUCUUAUGUGAAAUCUACAGGCUCAACUUGUAGUCUGCAUGAGAAACUGCCGGGCUUGAGUAUGGGAGAGGUGAGUGGAAUUCCUGGUGUAGCGGUGAAAUGCGUAGAUAUCAGGAGGAACACCUGUGGCGAAAGCGGCUCACUGGACCAUAACUGACGCUGAGACGCGAAAGCGUGGGGAGCGAACCGG